Molecule: ribosomal RNA, 463 nt
Filed under: Moraxella sp. canine oral taxon 018
Lineage: Bacteria; Pseudomonadati; Pseudomonadota; Gammaproteobacteria; Moraxellales; Moraxellaceae
Description: bacterial SSU rRNA
Rfam family: Bacterial small subunit ribosomal RNA
Source: RNAcentral
GAGUUUGAUCAUGGCUCAGAUUGAACGCUGGCGGCAGGCUUAACACAUGCAAGUCGAACGGAAGUUACUAGCUUGCUAGUAACUUUAGUGGCGAACGGGUGAGUAACAUUUAGGAAUCUGCCUCAUAACGGGGGAUAGCUCGGGGAAACUCGAAUUAAUACCGCAUACACCCUACGGGGGAAAGGUGGCGCAAGCUGCCGAUAUGAGAUGAGCCUAAAUCAGAUUAGCUAGAUGGUGGGGUAAAGGCCUACCAUGGCGACGAUCUGUAACUGGUCUGAGAGGAUGAUCAGUCACACCGGAACUGAGACACGGUCCGGACUCCUACGGGAGGCAGCAGUGGGGAAUAUUGGACAAUGGACGAAAGCCUGAUCCAGCCAUGCCGCGUGUGUGAAGAAGGCCAUAAGGUUGUAAAGCACUUUAAGCAGGGAGGAAGAACUUUUAGUUAAUAGCUAAGAGUGGUGAC